RNAcentral lists this microRNA precursor (102 nucleotides) under Trifolium pratense (red clover). The record is from RNAcentral. Lineage: Eukaryota; Viridiplantae; Streptophyta; Magnoliopsida; Fabales; Fabaceae.
AAUUAACCUAGGUAUUGGCGCGCCUCAAUUUAAAUGCAUGGUUAGCGUCUGAUUUUUAACCAUGUAGUUUGAUUGAGCCGCGUCAAUAUCUCGCUCAUCUUG